Phasianus colchicus (ring-necked pheasant) is the source of this 2456-nucleotide non-coding RNA. Lineage: Eukaryota; Metazoa; Chordata; Aves; Galliformes; Phasianidae. The record is from RefSeq and is a predicted model, not a curated record.
AUGUGGGAAGGGAGAAAAGACCACUAGUGUGUCUAGAGGAAAUGCACUGUUUAGCAUAAGAACGCGUUCAAACCCACCUUUUUCUCUAGAUUAUACUAGCAAAGCUCUGGCAGUUGGAGAACUCACCACCAUCCUCUGGGCCUCUGGAGAUCCUUCCUGCCUCACCUACCUACUUCCAGCUGUUCCUGAUGUCUGAGAGUUAAUUCCUUUUAAGGAUCAAGAUUUCCUCCCAGGCUGUGCACAUGCUGGAGCAUCACUGCAAAAGUUUUUAGGUUUUAUUCACUGUACCUGAGUAAGUAGUUCACAAACCCUUUCCAUACUGCCACAACAAAAAGCAACCUGAAGCCCUAUCAGUACAGCAUAGAAGUGCAUCUUCCUCAGACCACAGGGACAGGGAAAACCUCAGAGCCUUGCUCCAGAAUGAGUGGACUGUCUCAGAUCACAGAGUCAGUGAUCUUACUCAGCUUUGGUCCAUGCAGGCUCGCUGGCCUCCUUGCAAGGCAAAGCCACCCUUCUGGGGUGAAACUCAAGACUCCGUUUAUCUUUCUGCAGUUGGCUUCAAGACUUGCAGCUCUCUGGGCAUGAAAGGUAGUGAAAAGCAUUGGGCUUGAAGGCCUUGUGCUCUUCUCGAUGCUCACUGCAGGAAAAUAUCUGCACAUCUCUGGCAAGGAAAGUAACUGCCCAACAUCAGGCCAGGCGUGCCAUGGCCUUGCUUCUUGGAAAUCUGGGUUGUUGAAUUAAAUAUAACACGAAUCAAUACUGAGCCUCAGGGGAUUUUCACCCACUGGCUGCCAUGCUGAUGCAAGUCCUGCUGUCAGCUGGACUCCUCCCUGCUCUACUUACUGUGCUGUAAUUGUCAAUAGGAGCCAAUAACUGCCCACUGAUACAUAUGUUUCCAGCUUCCUCAGACUUUUGCAUGGAUUUCUCAUUUCUUGCAUAUGCCCCACAGCUGCUUCCCCCAAAUGAACAUCAAGCUCAAGCAAGCACCUGAAGCCUUGUGUCCUUACUCACACAGGAUCUCAGAUCAAGAUCCAAGGGUAAUGUGCCCAGAGAGCAGAUCUUCCCUCCUUGCCUGAAGCCAAGCUUGCCAGCACAGCAUGAGAUGGUGACAGCAUCUGAGGGUUCAGCAUGAUUCCUAUGGUGACUCCAAGACAACAAAUUGUGCAUCUGUGAAGAGGAGGGAAAAUAUGAGAGGAGCUGAAGAAAUGCAAGCGCUCUGUGCUUAUCCCUGCUACCACCCAGCUGUCCUUGCACAGUGUUCCCCAUACUCCAGUCAUUAUAAGGAAUGCAAAGAGACACACUCAGGUCCAACAAGGACUCUGGUCUGCAGAAAAGCUAUUACGUUCCUCCUGGAUCUGAGCUGAUCCUGGAAGAGGAACAUGCAGCAAGUAGCUGAGUAAGUGGCCCUGGCUGGACGUGCGCUGGCUCUGCACAGACCUGAUGCUGUUGUCUCUGCCAUCUCUGUCUGCUGCAUCGCUGCAGGAUUAAUCCACAGUGUGGAUUUAUUGUGCAGAAAUAAUUAAGUGUUGACUGUACAGUACAUCCUAUUUCAAGCACCUGCAGUAUUAGCUGUAGCGAUCAAUGAAUCAGUUAACUGCUAGCAAGCCAAAUGUCCCCACUGCGUAAGUGAUGUGUAUCACACUUUUAAGAAGCAACCUUCCACCUUCCCAAGAGCAGCCAUCCUUCCCUAGGUGAGCCUGCAGCUAUUGCUCUCACUCUCAAUGCACAAGUUGCUCAGCCUGGGACAGCUGAUGGGGCCAAUUAGCUCCAGGUUCGUGGUUUCAACUUUGCUCCUAUUAAGUUGUCUAAGAAUUUACAGUAACAAGUAUCAAAACCAGCCAGAAACAAAUCCUCACUUGUUGGUCCCUGUAUAAGCACAUAGGCAGACGUUCUUUCCCCAGAGGCUGCAAGGCUUAUGAAGAUGGGCUAGUUGAGACAGAAAUAAUGAUGCUUGGUCUGAGAGGAAUCAGCAGUUAAAUGUUUUACCUAAGAUCAUACCAAAAGGCUGUGGUAGAGCCAGAAACUGCACCAAGCCUCUCGAGCCCAUGUUGCACUCUGCCUCCCCACACCUGCUUGCAAAGCCUGGGGAUAGCUCUGGGGCCAUGCCACCUGCCUUUGUGCACUUGUACAAUGCCUUGAAACAUGCAGAAUAUGAUGCAGAUGAGGAUAUUUGGGCAGCUGCCAUGGAGCAAUGACUAUAGGAGCAGUGUCCCUCCCAAGGUGACACACACAGCUACCUUCAGCUGCUGAGAAAAGGCUGGCUGUAUGAAGUGGCAGUGGGGUGCUGCUUUCUGUGCAGCCUCUGGGGUGGCUCAGAGAGCCACUUCUCCACAAGGGGUGCACGGGUAAGGAAACAUGUAGAGAAUAGAAAGAUGCUUUUUGCUCUUGGAAUUCCUACUUUCUCCUUCCCUGCGAUUCCCACUCUUCCUUCCUGCCUCUUUCUCCUUUCCAAGCCC